GCAGUAGACGCUGAAGCUUGGUGCUUGCACCGAGCGGAUGAGUUGCGAACGGGUGAGUAACGCGUAGGUAACCUGCCUCUUAGCGGGGGAUAACUAUUGGAAACGAUAGCUAAUACCGCAUAAAAGUCAACAUUGCAUGAUGUUGACUUGAAAGGUGCAAAUGCAUCACUAAGAGAUGGACCUGCGUUGUAUUAGCUAGUUGGUGAGGUAACGGCUCACCAAGGCGACGAUACAUAGCCGACCUGAGAGGGUGAUCGGCCACACUGGGACUGAGACACGGCCCAGACUCCUACGGGAGGCAGCAGUAGGGAAUCUUCGGCAAUGGACGGAAGUCUGACCGAGCAACGCCGCGUGAGUGAAGAAGGUUUUCGGAUCGUAAAGCUCUGUUGUAAGAGAAGAACGAGUGUGAGAGUGGAAAGUUCACACUGUGACGGUAACUUACCAGAAAGGGACGGCUAACUACGUGCCAGCAGCCGCGGUAAUACGUAGGUCCCGAGCGUUAUCCGGAUUUAUUGGGCGUAAAGCGAGCGCAGGCGGUUAGAUAAGUCUGAAGUUAAAGGCUGUGGCUUAACCAUAGUACGCUUUGGAAACUGUUUAACUUGAGUGCAGAAGGGGAGAGUGGAAUUCCAUGUGUAGCGGUGAAAUGCGUAGAUAUAUGGAGGAACACCGGUGGCGAAAGCGGCUCUCUGGUCUGUAACUGACGCUGAAGCUCGAAAGCGUGGGGAGCAACAGGAU
RNAcentral lists this ribosomal RNA (735 nucleotides) under Streptococcus sp. HXF0014. Its description in RNAcentral is "bacterial SSU rRNA". It matches the Rfam family "Bacterial small subunit ribosomal RNA", at positions 57 to 778 of the family's 1533-position model. Lineage: Bacteria; Bacillati; Bacillota; Bacilli; Lactobacillales; Streptococcaceae. The record is from RNAcentral.